Small nuclear RNA from Ochotona princeps (American pika), 107 nucleotides. The record is from Ensembl. NCBI's taxonomy places the organism in Eukaryota, Metazoa, Chordata, Mammalia, Lagomorpha, Ochotonidae.
GUGCUCGCUUCGGCAGCACAUACGCUGAAAUUGGAACGAUACAGAGAGGAUUAGUAUGGCCCCUGUGCAAGGAUGACACGCAAAUUCGUGAAGUAUUACAUAUUUUU